RNAcentral lists this ribosomal RNA (2632 nucleotides) under Minisyncoccota bacterium. Its description in RNAcentral is "partial 23S ribosomal RNA". It matches the Rfam family "Bacterial large subunit ribosomal RNA", at positions 1825 to 2925 of the family's 2925-position model. Lineage: Bacteria; Bacillati; Minisyncoccota. The record is from RNAcentral.
GCGAACUCGUAAGAGGAUGUAUAGGGGGUGACACCUGACCAAUGCCAGAAGGUCAAACGCCGGCGGUGCCAUAGCAAUAUGCGUGCUGGACGGUGUAAGCCCUGGUGAAUGUCGGCCGUAACUAUAAACCUAGACCGUUGUAGUUACGUAAAUAAAUCUUGCUAUAUGCUGGAAACUCUGGGUCAUCUAAUAAAAUAGAUGGCAAAAAAGUAUUUGCUACUACUCACUUCAUGUCGAUGAAGAAGUAACAAUGUGGCAAUGCAGACAAUCAGCAGGAAAGGCUUCUGCUACAAAAAUAAUUUCUCAAUGGAAAAAUGGCUUAACAGUAUCAAUCCAAAAGAUGGAUACUAUAUCGCUGGUUUCACUGAUGGAGAGGGAAGCUUCAACGUUUCUCUCAAAAAAAGAAAUGAUUAUGUAGGAGAAUGGAAAAUUACAGCAUCGUUCAAUAUUUCUCAAAAAGAUAGAGUGAUACUCGCGUGGAUAAAAAAUAUCCUUGGUUGUGGAACUCUAAGAGAAAGACCUGAUGGAGUUGUCUACUAUGAAGUUACUAAUAUAACUUCAUUAAAAGAAAAAAUUAUUCCAUUCUUUAAAAAGUUUAAUUUCAUCUCUUCAAGAAAAAAGACAAACUUCUCAAUAUUUAAAGAUAUUGUAGAACAAAUGUUUAAUGGAGAACAUCUUAAUAAAGAAGGAUUCGAAAGAAUUAUUCAGUUAAGAGAAUCUCUAAAUGAAGGGAAGGGAAGAAAACGAAAGUACGUUUUAUCAGAUGUGAUAAAAGCAGAAGAAUCCCCAGAGACUACACGCAAGAUACUUCAAGACAACAAUGGAAAGUCGACUGUCGAAGAAGUGAAGAUAUAGUCCGAUCUCUAUGGCGACAUAGAGUUAACACAAAAAAAAGAAGAAAUAGAAUUUAUUUGGUAAAUAAACAAUUAAGUUGAUACACAUUCGCGCAACCUAUAGAAAACAAUGAACGGUCCUAAGGUAGCGAAAUUCCUUGUCUGGUAAGUUCAGACGCGCACGAAUGGUGUAAUGACUUGGGAACUGUCUCGAAGACCCGCUCGGUGAAAAUGCAAUGGAGGUGAAGAUGCCUCCUACCUGCAGUUAGACGAAAAGACCCCAGAAGCUUCACUGCAACUUGGUAUUGAGCGUAUGUAUUUACUGCGUAGCAUAGGUGGGAGAGGUUGAUAUCUAGAUUUCGGUUUAGGUGGACUCGUCAGUGAAAUACCACUCUGUGAAAGCAUACGUUCUAACCUCCGCGGCAAAAACGCGAAGGAACAGUAUCUGGUGGGCAGUUUUGGUGGGGCGCUAUCCUUCAGGAUGCAAUCAUCUUGUAUUUACUUUAUUGUAGAUUCAAGAAAUUGUAUCCUGAUCCGUGGCGCCCCCAGAAGACGUCAUUCUUCGAAAAAAACAAAAAGGGGGACUACAGUGAGAAAUCAUUGUAAGCAAAGUUGGUUAUAUCGGGAAAAACCUUAAUCGUGCCGAAAGCAAAGUUAAGACAAUUCCGAGGGACAAGUGAACAAAGCCGCCGAGCAUGCUCGGCAUAAGUGUUCCCUUACCCGUAGAGACUACAACCCAGCUAUCUAAAACAAUUUAUUGUAUAGAUAAUUAUAUAGUCCGAUCUGCAUGGUGACAUGUAGUUAACAUUUAUGCCCAAAAAGUAACGGAGGAGUUUAUUAAGGUCGGCUAGGCGCGAAUGGAAACCGUGCCGAUAGUGCAACGGCAUAAGCCGGCUUAACUGUGAGACGUCAAUGUCAAGCAGAUGCGAAAGCAGAACGUAGUGAACCGAUUGUACGCUUUAGACGCGGCAAAAGAUUAUCUGACAAAAGCUACUCUGGGGAUAACAGGCUAGUUCCGCCUAAGAGUCCAUAUCGACGGCGGAGUUCGGCACCUCGAUGUCGGCUCGACUUAUCCUGGGGCUGGAGAAGGUCCCAAGGGUUUAGCUGUUCGCUAAUUAAAAAGUCACGCGAGCUGGGUUCAGACCGUUCAGCUUCCAAUGCGAUUUUGUGUAGCAAUACAUAUUAUUAAAUUGGUUGCUGAACAGUCUGAAUCCACCGAGGACAUCAAAACUCUUAAAUGAGAAUGAAAACUGUUAACAUAAUUAAAUUAUAGAGAUACAACCUAUACACGGCGGUCAUAUAUAGUGAUAUAUAUGACACAGCUUACUUAUAUCGGGGAAGUCCGGUACAUACAGGAGUAUGUAUGGAUAACACCGAGGGAAUUCACAGUUUGUGAAGCCCGUAGAGACUAAACGUAAGCCAUCUCAAUCAUACGAAACUUUAUUGUGACGUAAGAAAAAGAUGAAGAUAUAGUCCAAUGCACUUAGUAAUAAGUGAAAAACAUGCGUGAGACAGGUUGGUCUCCUAUCUACUGCAGGCGUUGAUACUUGAGAAGAUUUGCCCUUAGUACGAGAGGACCGGGGUGAACUGACCUCUGGUGUACCUGUUGUCACGCCCGUGGCAUUGCAGGGUAGCUAUGUUGGGAAUGGAUAAGCUCUGAAAGCAUCUAAGAGCGAAGCCAGCUUCAAGAUUAGGUAUCGUUUGAGAUCCGUGAGAGAUGAUCACGUUGAUAGGCACUAAGUGUAAGCGUAGUAAUACGUUAAGCUGAGGUGUACUAAUGCAUCGAUUCUAUUAGGAAA